Molecule: ribosomal RNA, 436 nt
Filed under: uncultured bacterium
Lineage: Bacteria
Description: bacterial SSU rRNA
Rfam family: Bacterial small subunit ribosomal RNA
Source: RNAcentral
GCAUAACGCGAAGAACCUUACCAGGGCUUGACAUCCCGUGCAUAGUAUAGAGAUAUAUGAAGUCCUUCGGGACACGGAGACAGGUGGUGCAUGGUUGUCGUCAGCUCGUGUCGUGAGAUGUUGGGUUAAGUCCCGCAACGAGCGCAACCCUUAUUGUUAGUUGCUACCAUUUAGUUGAGCACUCUAACGAGACUGCCGGUGACAAAUCGGAGGAAGGUGGGGACGACGUCAAAUCAUCAUGCCCCUUAUGUCCUGGGCUACACACGUACUACAAUGGCUGUUAACAAAGGGAAGCAAGACCGCGAGGUGGAGCAAAUCCCUAAAAGCAGUCUCAGUUCGGAUUGCAGGCUGAAACCCGCCUGCAUGAAGUCGGAAUUGCUAGUAAUCGCGGAUCAGCAUGCCGCGGUGAAUACGUUCCCGGGUCUUGUACACACCG